CCUACGGGAGGCAGCAGUGGGGAAUAUUGGGCAAUGGGCGCAAGCCUGACCCAGCAAUGCCGCGUGAAGGAAGAAGGCUUUCGGGUUGUAAACUUCUUUGACAGGGGGAGUGCAGAAGACGGUACCCUGAAAACAAGCCACGGCUAACUACGUGCCAGCAGCCGCGGUAAUACGUAGGUGGCAAGCGUUGGCCGGAUUUACUGGGUGUAAAGGGCGUGUAGCCGGGAAGGCAAGUCAGAUGUGAAAUCUGGAGGCUCAACCUCCAAAUUGCAUUUGAAACUGUUUUUCUUGAGUACUGGAGAGGCAGACGGAAUUCCUUGUGUAGCGGUGAAAUGCGUAGAUAUAAGGAGGAACACCAGUGGCGAAGGCGGUCUGCUGGACAGCAACUGACGGUGAGGCGCGAAAGCGUGGGGAGCAAACAGGAUUAGAUACCCCAGUAGUC
RNAcentral lists this ribosomal RNA (442 nucleotides) under uncultured bacterium. RNAcentral describes it as "partial 16S ribosomal RNA". It matches the Rfam family "Bacterial small subunit ribosomal RNA", at positions 338 to 795 of the family's 1533-position model. The record is from RNAcentral.